RNAcentral lists this non-coding RNA (24 nucleotides) under Arabidopsis thaliana (thale cress). Lineage: Eukaryota; Viridiplantae; Streptophyta; Magnoliopsida; Brassicales; Brassicaceae. The record is from RNAcentral.
AGCACACAAGCCCUAAUUCUCCUC